GAUGAACGCUGGCGGCGUGCUUAACACAUGCAAGUCGAACGAUGAAGCCCAGCUUGCUGGGUGGAUUAGUGGCGAACGGGUGAGUAACACGUGAGUAACCUGCCCUUAACUCUGGGAUAAGCCUGGGAAACUGGGUCUAAUACCGGAUAGGAGCGUCCACCGCAUGGUGGGUGUUGGAAAGAUUUAUCGGUUUUGGAUGGACUCGCGGCCUAUCAGCUUGUUGGUGAGGUAAUGGCUCACCAAGGCGACGCGGGGUAGCCGGCCUGAGAGGGUGACCGGCAACACUGGGACUGACACACGGCCAAGACCCCUACGGGGGGCAGAAGGGGGGAAUAUUGAACAAGGGGCGCAAGCCUGAGGCAGCGACGCCGGGUGGGGGAGCACGGCCUUGGGUUUGAAACCCUCUUUCGGUAGGAAAGAAGCAAAAGUGACGGUACCUGAAAAAGAAGCCCGGCCUAACUACGUG
RNAcentral lists this ribosomal RNA (466 nucleotides) under uncultured bacterium. RNAcentral describes it as "partial 16S ribosomal RNA". It matches the Rfam family "Bacterial small subunit ribosomal RNA", at positions 28 to 507 of the family's 1533-position model. The record is from RNAcentral.